CCCCUCUGAAAAGCACUCACUGGGCCUUUCGCUAACGACCCACGGAGCCGGCUGGAAAGGGCAAAGUGAAAACCCGGCUUCGGGUGAAGUGGCAGCACAUCGUGUUGCUUCACUUCAGUUGAUGGUGUGACAAGG
Molecule: small nucleolar RNA, 135 nt
Organism: Artibeus jamaicensis (Jamaican fruit-eating bat)
Lineage: Eukaryota; Metazoa; Chordata; Mammalia; Chiroptera; Phyllostomidae
Source: RefSeq, a predicted model, not a curated record